UUAGCAUAUCAAUAAGCGGAGGAAAAGAAACUAACAAGGAUUCCCCUAGUAACUGCGAGUGAAGCGGGAAAAGCUCAAAUUUAAAAUCUGGCGGUCUCUGGCCGUCCGAGUUGUAAUCUAGAGAAGUAAUGCCUGUGCUGGACCGUGUACAAGUCCCCUGGGAUGGGGCAUCAUAGAGGGUGAGAAUCCCGUCUCUGACACGGACUCCCAGUGCGUUGUGGUAUGCUCUCGAAGAGUCGAGUUGUUUGGGAAUGCAGCUCAAAAUGGGUGGUAAAUUCCAUCUAAAGCUAAAUAUUGGCGAGAGACCGAUAGCGAACAAGUACCGUGAGGGAAAGAUGAAAAGAACUUUGGAAAGAGAGUUAAACAGUACGUGAAAUUGCUGAAAGGGAAACGCUUGAAGUCAGUCGCGUUGGCCAGGGAUCAGCCUCGCUUUUGCGUGGUGUACUUUCUGGUCGACGGGUCAGCAUCAAUUUCGAUCGCCGGAAAAGGGCCUGGGGAAUGUGGCAGCUUCGGCUGUGUUAUAGCCCCUGGUCACAUACGGCGGUUGGGAUUGAGGAACUCAGCACGCCGCAAGGCCGGGUUUCGACCACGUCCGUGCUUAGGAUGCUGGCAUAAUGGCUUUAAGCGACCCGUCUUGAAACACGGACCAAGGAGUCUAACAUGCCUGCGAUG
RNAcentral lists this ribosomal RNA (672 nucleotides) under Lepiota cf. fuscovinacea ecv3556. RNAcentral's name for it is "eukaryotic LSU rRNA". It matches the Rfam family "Eukaryotic large subunit ribosomal RNA", at positions 35 to 691 of the family's 3401-position model. Lineage: Eukaryota; Fungi; Basidiomycota; Agaricomycetes; Agaricales; Agaricaceae. The record is from RNAcentral.